CAAAACACAUGUUUUGG
Molecule: long non-coding RNA, 17 nt
Filed under: Pongo abelii (Sumatran orangutan)
Lineage: Eukaryota; Metazoa; Chordata; Mammalia; Primates; Hominidae
Description: lincRNA
Source: RNAcentral